RNA transcript from Drosophila miranda, 2000 nucleotides. It is a transcript of the gene named probable cytochrome P450 12a5, mitochondrial, with no coding region annotated. The transcript is spliced from 3 exons. Lineage: Eukaryota; Metazoa; Arthropoda; Insecta; Diptera; Drosophilidae. The record is from RefSeq and is a predicted model, not a curated record.
AUUAAGUUCCUAACAAGCAAAAUGUUGAAAGUGCGCAGCGGUCUAUCUAUAAUUCAGGCGCAAAAAGCAGCCCUCUCUGUCAGCAGUCCGCUGCGUUGGCAGACCACAGCAGCUGUAGCAGAGCCCAGAAAUGAUGCAGAGUGGCUACAAGCUCGUCCCUUUGAUCAGAUUCCUAGUACAACUUUUCUGUCUACUGUUCGGAAUUUUAUGCCUGGAGGAAAAUAUAGCAAACUGGACAUUGUGAAAUUGUUCAAAGCUUUGCAAGACGACUAUGGAAACAUAUUAUAUUUACCAGGUAUGAUGGGAGGUACGUCAUACCUGAUGACUCACAAUCCCAAGGACUUCGAGGUCGUGUUCCGGAACGAAGGAGUGUGGCCGCAUCGGCCUGGCAGCGAUACUCUUCGCUAUCAUCGGAAGACUCAUAGAAAGGAUUUCUUCCAUGGAGUGGAGGGAGCUUUAGCCACACAAGGAAAAACCUGGAGCGACUUUCAAUCGGCUGUAAAUCCUGUCCUAAUGCAGCCGAAGAACGUGCGGCUUUACUAUAAGAAGAUGUCCCAAGUAAACCAGGAGUUUGUGCAACGGCGCGUAUGACUGAUAAUAAAUCCCUGUUUACGCUCAAGUAUGUUCUCCCCCCUUCACAGUAUUAAAGCACUCCGUGAUAUCGAUACCCAGGAAGCUCCAGAUGAUUUCUUAAACGUUAUAAAUCGGUGGACCCUCGAGUCAGUCUCUGUGGUGGCUCUGGGCAAGCAGUUGGGACUGCUCAAAGAGUCGGGCGAUAACGACCAGGCUGUGUUACUUUUCAAGUACCUGGACGAUUUUUUUGAAUUAACAGCCGAUCUGGAGAUGAAGCCCUCCAUCUGGCGUUACGUUAAAACACCCAAGCUAAUGAAGUCCCUAGAUGGCGUUCAAGAAAUAACUUCAGCGUAUGUAGACGAAGCUAUAGAGCGUCUAGAGAAAGAGGCCAAGGAGGGUGUUGUCCGCCCUGAGAGCGAGCAGAGUGUACUGGAAAAGCUGCUCAAGAUCGACAAAAAGGUGGCGACGGUUAUGGCCAUGGACAUGCUAAUGGCCGGAGUGGAUACCACCUCAAGUACCCUUACAGCGGCCUUGCUGUGCCUUGCCAAGAAUCCUUAUUUUCACCCAUUAAAGUAAGAAAUAGGCUAAGAAACCCCAAAACAGUAGGCCUUUUUACUUAUUAGAACUAAGAGAACCAACAUGUAAGAGAGACGCACACUACGGCCACGCAGCGAAGAGAGACGCACACCACGGCUAUACGAAAGCGAAGAGAACCAACACGAAAGAGAUACGCUCUUACGCCCACGCAGCCAACGCAAGGAAGAGAACGGCUAUACGCAGACGAAAAGAGACAACAUGAAAGAGAGCGAAGCGGCAGAGAAGCCGCCGAUCGGUCUUACGCCCACGCAGCCGAGGAAAAGAGCCGACGGCGAAGCAGGCAAUACACACACGCAGCCAUACACCCACGCAGCCGAGGCCGGCAGCCGAAGGCGGCGCAGCAGCGAAGCGGCAGAGAAGCUGCGAAAAAGAAAAGCCGAGGCCUGGCACGGUCCAGCGCGAGCCAAGCUCGGGAGUGAUCUCGGAGGGCUGAGCCAGACCGGUUGUGCGGCGGAAGCCAAAAUAGAUGUGAAAAACUAGCCGUGACCGCGCCGUGUACGCAAUAAGCCGUGUUCGCCCGCACGCGGUGAAUAAAACCAGCUGUGACCGCACCCACGCGGUGUGCAAAGGAAGCCACCGAAGUGACCCGCCGUGGGAGAACAGGACCCAAAGAAGGGACACAAGGGUGAGCCACCUCACGUAUGUGAGCUCUGGGGGGGAUAGAUCGGUGCAGUAGGCAGGUAUAAGCAGAACAUUCCCGCAGUUUCUUUACAUAUCUAUGCCCACAUGUUGUUUAUGAUAUUUUUUUGGCGUUUACUUCCCCGCUGCAGGCGCGGGAUUUUAAGUAGGGAAAUGAUCCGAAAACAAUAAAGACACCAACCUCAACCCAA